RNAcentral lists this ribosomal RNA (406 nucleotides) under uncultured bacterium. RNAcentral's name for it is "bacterial SSU rRNA". It matches the Rfam family "Bacterial small subunit ribosomal RNA", at positions 355 to 775 of the family's 1533-position model. The record is from RNAcentral.
UGGGGAAUUUUCCGCAAUGGGCGAAAGCCUGACGGAGCAAGACCGCGUGAGGGAGGAAGGCUCUUGGGUUGUAAACCUCUUUUCUUGGGGAAGAAAAAAAUGACGGUACCCAAGGAAUCAGCAUCGGCUAACUCCGUGCCAGCAGCCGCGGUAAUACGGAGGAUGCAAGCGUUAUCCGGAAUUAUUGGGCGUAAAGCGUCCGCAGGUGGCACUUCAAGUCUGCUGUCAAAGGUCGGGGCUUAACCCCGGAAAGGCAGUGGAAACUGAAGCGCUAGAGUGUCGUAGGGGUAGAGGGAAUUCCCGGUGUAGCGGUGAAAUGCGUAGAGAUCGGGAAGAACAUCGGUGGCGAAAGCGCUCUACUGGACGACAACUGACACUCAGGGACGAAAGCUAGGGGAGCGAAUGG